The sequence is a small RNA, 75 nucleotides long. It matches the Rfam family "Xanthomonas sRNA sX9".
AUGUACCACUCGUACACUGCGGUUCCUGCGCGCCGUCCGCGCCCCCCUGGCGGCUGCGCAGUAGUUUUGCUAGCC